RNAcentral lists this ribosomal RNA (472 nucleotides) under uncultured bacterium. RNAcentral describes it as "bacterial SSU rRNA". It matches the Rfam family "Bacterial small subunit ribosomal RNA", at positions 28 to 524 of the family's 1533-position model. The record is from RNAcentral.
GAUGAACGCUGGCGGCGUGCCUAACACAUGCAAGUCGUACGAGCUCGAUCUUCGGAACGGGUUAGUGGCGCACGGGUGAGUAACACGUAGGUGACCUACCCCAGAGUGGGGGAUAACUUCUCGAAAGAGAGGCUAAUACCGCAUACACUCGGUCAUUCAUUUGGCCGAGCAAAGCUCCGGCGCUUUGGGACGGGCCUGCGUCCGAUUAGCUAGUUGGUAGGGUAAUGGCUUACCAAGGCUUUGAUCGGUAGCUGGUCUGAGAGGACGAUCAGCCACACUGGCACUGACACACGGGCCAGACUCCUACGGGAGGCAGCAGUGAGGAAUAUUGGGCAAUGGGCAAAGCCUGACCCAGCAACGCCGCGUGAGGGAUGAAGGCCUUCGGGUUGUAAACCUCUUUUCUGGGAGAAGAGACAAGGACGGUAUCCCAGGAAUAAGUCUCGGCUAACUACGUGCCAGCAGCCGCGGUAAU